This 140-nucleotide ribosomal RNA is filed under the name Plectosphaera eucalypti. RNAcentral describes it as "partial 18S ribosomal RNA". It matches the Rfam family "Eukaryotic small subunit ribosomal RNA", at positions 1693 to 1830 of the family's 1831-position model. Lineage: Eukaryota; Fungi; Ascomycota; Sordariomycetes; Amphisphaeriales; Clypeophysalosporaceae. The record is from RNAcentral.
AUGGCUCAGUGAGGCUUCCGGACUGGCCGCGGAAGAUCGGCAACGAUCAUCCAUGGCCGGAAAGUUAUCCAAACUCGGUCAUUUAGAGGAAGUAAAAGUCGUAACAAGGUCUCCGUUGGUGAACCAGCGGAGGGAUCAUU